AUGAACGCUGGCGGCGUGCCUAAUACCUGCAAGUCGAGCGAACAGAUGAGGAGCUUGCUCCUCUGACGUUAGCGGCGGACGGGUGAGUAACACGUGGAUAACCUACCUAUAAGACUGGGAUAACUUCGGGAAACCGGAGCUAAUACCGGAUAAUAUAUUGAACCGCAUGGUUCAAUAGUGAAAGACGGUUUUGCUGUCACUUAUAGAUGGAUCCGCGCCGCAUUAGCUAGUUGGUAAGGUAACGGCUUACCAAGGCAACGAUGCGUAGCCGACCUGAGAGGGUGAUCGGCCACACUGGAACUGAGACACGGUCCAGACUCCUACGGGAGGCAGCAGUAGGGAAUCUUCCGCAAUGGGCGAAAUCCUGACGGAGCAACGCCGCGUGAGUGAUGAAGGUCUUCGGAUCGUAAAACUCUGUUAUUAGGGAAGAACAAAUGUGUAAGUAACUAUGCACGUCUUGACGGUACCUAAUCAGAAAGCCACGGCUAACUACGUG
RNAcentral lists this ribosomal RNA (496 nucleotides) under uncultured bacterium. RNAcentral describes it as "partial 16S ribosomal RNA". It matches the Rfam family "Bacterial small subunit ribosomal RNA", at positions 29 to 507 of the family's 1533-position model. The record is from RNAcentral.